RNAcentral lists this long non-coding RNA (572 nucleotides) under Marmota monax (woodchuck). The record is from RNAcentral. Lineage: Eukaryota; Metazoa; Chordata; Mammalia; Rodentia; Sciuridae.
GGCGCGCUACUGUACGCAGGCUCGGCGGGGAGUUCGUGGCGGCUGCCGAGGCCACCCCCGCGCUCCCCGCACCCACGCGAGGCGACGCGUACACACGCACACCCUCGCUGGGGGUCCCUCCCGGGUGCUGACCCCAGCACUGCAGCAACGCGCUUGGUUGCAGUGCGGUUCGCCGGGUUUUGCAGCGCGCAGAGGUGCCACAGGCGGCCACAGUCCGGAGACCCAGAAGGAGAAAUAAGGACCCAGCCCGUGAGCUGCGCCAGGAGAGGCCUAGGCACCAGCUACAGGGAGGCGCCUGGCGUGCCUUGGAAACACAGCUGCCGCCGCGAGGCUCCGGGGCCGGUCCCAGCUGUGGGAAGCCGCCCACGGCCAAAGCUCCGCUUCCCGGGCAGGGGUGGGAGUCGGCCGCAAGGGGGCCGGAGGGCCCGGGACCCCCAAGGCCUGGUUGUCAGCUACAGCGAAAGACGCUGAUCCGUUUAUUAAGACCUGACGAUGCUCCACCACCCGACUGCUGUGUUUUCAGCGUUUUCCUUUAUUAGUGUUUUCGGCCGCGUCCGGCUCGGCUCCUAGCG